GAUUGACUCCAUACUUCUUAUAUAGAAAUUAAACUGUACUGCAUGACAUACGGUAAUUUUUUACUUGGGAAAUAGAAGCAGAGUGGUGGGUAGUGCGUACCUCUGGUUACGAAUGCUUCUGGUUACGAACGCUUCAGGUUACGAGCUCCGCUAACCCGGAAGUAGCUGCUCCUGGUUGCGAACUUUGCUCCAGGAUGCGAACGGAAACUGCGCACCAGAGGCACGUGCGCAGCAAGAAACCCCAUUAGCGAAAGCGCGCCUCAGGAUAAGAACGGUUUCAGCUUAAGAACGACCUCCAGAACGAAUUAAGUUCAUAACCAGAGGUACCACUGUAGUUUAAUCACUAGGUGGAGCUCAAUUUACCUGUGUCUGGAUGGAGUAAGGUGUUUCCUGUUGCUGUUCUAGUUACAUCCACACCAUACAUCAUAGCACAGGGUUUCUUCCAAUAAAUCCUGGAAACCAUAGUUUAUCCGUCAGUGCUACAAUUCCCAGCACCUUAAUGAGCUACAGUUUCCAGGAGUCUUUGGAGAAAGCUGUGUGCUUUAAAUGUAUAGUGGUGAUUGUAGAAGCUGCCCAAAAACCUUGCAUUGGCAAGUAGAUUGGCAACCAGUUUAAUUUAAUGCUGAAAAUGCCAAUGAAGACUGGUGCUGGGACUGUAGCACACACGCAUGCCCGUUAGAAACAUGUAAAUCCCAGAAUGUGGAGUUCAAUGUGUUCUUCACAAGUCUAGAUGUAGGUGAUCUGGUGUGUGUUUCGAAUAAGUGGAAGGGGAAUGUCCACAGAAUUUGUGAUAUUGGAAAUAAUUUGAUGUAGAACUCAUUGUUAAUUUCUGCCUUCUGGGGCUGUUCUUCCAAGUCCUUUUUCCAUGCUGGUGAAGAACACAAGAGAUGUUUUUGCUGCCUAGGUAACCAUAACAUAUUAUCUAUCCAGCUUUAGUUAUUUAUGCCAUCACUUCUGCUUAUGUAAAUUGAAGAUGCUCUUCAGAAGAUUUUCACAAAUAGCUCUCAAAAUUGCAGUGUCCUUUUCUCGAGACAAUUUCCAUGAAGGCAAAAUGUCUCCCUUUCCCUCCAUUGCUUAGUAUCUGUCACCAAAGGUUGUUUUAGCUGCAAAUGUUGGAUUCAGUUCAUGAUUACACAGUGGUUAGAGGAACACAGUUACAUUUCCAUGGUAAUGUUGUUCUUUCUUAGUCUCUUAAAUUGAUUAAUGGCAUAGUGGUUGCUGACUUUUCAGACGAGGCAGUUAGCAAAAGCUCUACGUUUAACAAAUCUCCCUUUGAAACUACAAGGACCCAUUGAUGUAAUUAAACAUCUGGCUAGAUUGGCUGUCAAGUGCUAAAUGCAGCAAACUGAAAUUUAAUGACUGAAUCUCAAAUGUAAUUGAAUUUUAAACAUUUCCUGAUUAUGUGCAUUAUCUGCAUAGGUUUGCAUCGGUAGGUCUGUAAAAAAGUGCUGUAAAAAAGGUCUGUAAAAAAGUACUGAAUAUUUGGAUAGGGAAUUUUAAAAGUAUGAAGAAGAAGAAGAGUUUCAUGCUGGCUUGGCCUGACAGGAAUUCCCUGACGGGAAUUGCCAGGAGCCAUGUGUGUAGUAUUGUGGGCUCAAUUUUAUGGAAGUCCCUUACAGUUGAGAUUAGUCCCUGUCCUUGUUGAAUGUCCAGCAUUUACUGAAGACUGUUUAUAAUUAAUCAAGCAGGGUUUUUAAUUGAAUUCUGAUUUAAAAGCUCAUUUUUAGCUUCAUUGUAUUUAGUUUCCUGCAUAUUGCUUCAAAAGGAUUGUGGUUAAGCAGUAUAUGAAUUGUUGAAAUAAUAAUUUAUCAAUACCAAUUGUCUGUUUGAUUGGGAAGGAAGGAAGGCAAGGUAGUGGUAGUGGUAGUCACUUGGGGUGAAGUGGAAGAAAAAUUCUGUUUACUAGCUGGGGUUAAAAAACUGGAUUUAUUCCAAUGUAUACAAAGUGGUGCCUUAUACCUGUGCGAAAUUGCUCACAUUUGUGAUAUGCUCGAAUAGGGAACAAAUAUGAUGGUCAUCUUUUCCUUACCACUUUGCUUCAUUCACUAUUCAGAGCUAUUAGUAGCCAAGUCAGUACACAUUAUGCUUCUUUUGUAUGCAUUUCUUUCUUUAAAUACUCUGACGUAAAAUAAUAAGCUAGUUACAUGAUGGACUUUUGUGUGACAAGAUGUUCCGAACAGAUUAUGAAAGAUGAAUGUGUUCCAUUCACAAGCUUAAAGCAACAGAGAAUCUCAUCAAAUAGAGAACAAAUCUCAGUGAGUCCAAUUACUAAGCGUUUACGAUGUACAUUUGUAGUAAGUAGUACACUGGCAUGCUGCAAUUUCAGAAAUCAUGGCUUCUCAUACAGGUUCAGUGAAAUUUGACUUCUUUUUCAGAGCUGAACUUCUUGCUCGAGCCUGCAAACAAUUCAGUCGUGGUUCUUCAAAAAUGCAAACUACU
Molecule: non-coding RNA, 2439 nt
Organism: Podarcis lilfordi (Lilford's wall lizard)
Lineage: Eukaryota; Metazoa; Chordata; Lepidosauria; Squamata; Lacertidae
Source: the annotation of a GenBank genome assembly